UACGGAGGGGGCUAGCGUUGUUCGGAAUUACUGGGCGUAAAGCGCACGUAGGCGGACCGGAAAGUCAGAGGUGAAAUCCCAGGGCUCAACCUUGGAACUGCCUUUGAAACUCCUGGUCUUGAGUUCGAGAGAGGUGAGUGGAAUUCCGAGUGUAGAGGUGAAAUUCGUAGAUAUUCGGAGGAACACCAGUGGCGAAGGCGGCUCACUGGCUCGAUACUGACGCUGAGGUGCGAAAGCGUGGGGAG
Molecule: ribosomal RNA, 245 nt
Filed under: uncultured bacterium
Lineage: Bacteria
Description: partial 16S ribosomal RNA
Rfam family: Bacterial small subunit ribosomal RNA
Source: RNAcentral